GCUUCUUCAUAAGCUCCCACACGAAUUGCUUGAUUCACUGGUUAGACGAUUGGGUCUGUAGCUCAGUUGGUUAGAGCGCACCCCUGAUAAGGGUGAGGUCGGCAGUUCGAAUCUGCCCAGACCCACCAAUUGUUGGUGUGCUGCGUGAUCCGAUACGGGGCCAUAGCUCAGCUGGGAGAGCGCCUGCUUUGCACGCAGGAGGUCAGGAGUUCGAUCCUCCUUGGCUCCACCAUCUAAAACAAUCGUCGAAAGCUCAGAAAUGAAUGUUCGUGAAUGAACAUUGAUUUCUGGUCUUUGCACCAGAACUGUUCUUUAAAAAUUCGGGUAUGUGAUAGAAGUAAGACUGAAUGAUCUCUUUCACUGGUGAUCAUUCAAGUCAAGGUAAAAUUUGCGAGUUCAAGCGCGAAUUUUCGGCGAAUGUCGUCUUCACAGUAUAACCAGAUUGCUUGGGGUUAUAUA
This 459-nucleotide transfer RNA is filed under the name Pseudomonas fluorescens. Its description in RNAcentral is "partial 16S-23S ribosomal RNA intergenic spacer". The stretch from base 52 to 125 matches the Rfam family "tRNA". The record is from RNAcentral. Lineage: Bacteria; Pseudomonadati; Pseudomonadota; Gammaproteobacteria; Pseudomonadales; Pseudomonadaceae.